AAAAGAGAGUGAAAAAGGGCUUGAAAUUGUUAAGAGGAGAAGUGGUUGGAGCAUAUCAUACCUAUUGGGGUCAAUGGUUGGGACUUGUCCUG
Molecule: ribosomal RNA, 92 nt
Filed under: uncultured Ochromonas
Lineage: Eukaryota; Chrysophyceae; Chromulinales; Chromulinaceae
Description: partial Eukaryotic large subunit ribosomal RNA
Source: RNAcentral